GGUUAAGCGACUAAGCGUACACGGUGGAUGCCCUGGCAGUCAGAGGCGAUGAAGGACGUGCUAAUCUGCGAUAAGCGUCGGUAAGGUGAUAUGAACCGUUAUAACCGGCGAUUUCCGAAUGGGGAAACCCAGUGUGUUUCGACACACUAUCAUUAACUGAAUCCAUAGGUUAAUGAGGCGAACCGGGGGAACUGAAACAUCUAAGUACCCCGAGGAAAAGAAAUCAACCGAGAUUCCCCCAGUAGCGGCGAGCGAACGGGGAGCAGCCCAGAGCCUGAAUCAGUGUGUGUGUUAGUGGAAGCGUCUGGAAAGGCGCGCGAUACAGGGUGACAGCCCCGUACACAAAAAUGCACAUGCUGUGAGCUCGAUGAGUAGGGCGGGACACGUGGUAUCCUGUCUGAAUAUGGGGGGACCAUCCUCCAAGGCUAAAUACUCCUGACUGACCGAUAGUGAACCAGUACCGUGAGGGAAAGGCGAAAAGAACCCCGGCGAGGGGAGUGAAAAAGAACCUGAAACCGUGUACGUACAAGCAGUGGGAGCCUCUUUAUGGGGUGACUGCGUACCUUUUGUAUAAUGGGUCAGCGACUUAUAUUCUGUAGCAAGGUUAACCGAAUAGGGGAGCCGAAGGGAAACCGAGUCUUAACUGGGCGUUAAGUUGCAGGGUAUAGACCCGAAACCCGGUGAUCUAGCCAUGGGCAGGUUGAAGGUUGGGUAACACUAACUGGAGGACCGAACCGACUAAUGUUGAAAAAUUAGCGGAUGACUUGUGGCUGGGGGUGAAAGGCCAAUCAAACCGGGAGAUAGCUGGUUCUCCCCGAAAGCUAUUUAGGUAGCGCCUCGUGAAUUCAUCUCCGGGGGUAGAGCACUGUUUCGGCAAGGGGGUCAUCCCGACUUACCAACCCGAUGCAAACUGCGAAUACCGGAGAAUGUUAUCACGGGAGACACACGGCGGGUGCUAACGUCCGUCGUGAAGAGGGAAACAACCCAGACCGCCAGCUAAGGUCCCAAAGUCAUGGUUAAGUGGGAAACGAUGUGGGAAGGCCCAGACAGCCAGGAUGUUGGCUUAGAAGCAGCCAUCAUUUAAAGAAAGCGUAAUAGCUCACUGGUCGAGUCGGCCUGCGCGGAAGAUGUAACGGGGCUAAACCAUGCACCGAAGCUGCGGCAGCGACGCUGAUGCGUUGUUGGGUAGGGGAGCGUUCUGUAAGCCUGUGAAGGUGUGCUGUGAGGCAUGCUGGAGGUAUCAGAAGUGCGAAUGCUGACAUAAGUAACGAUAAAGCGGGUGAAAAGCCCGCUCGCCGGAAGACCAAGGGUUCCUGUCCAACGUUAAUCGGGGCAGGGUGAGUCGACCCCUAAGGCGAGGCCGAAAGGCGUAGUCGAUGGGAAACAGGUUAAUAUUCCUGUACUUGGUGUUACUGCGAAGGGGGGACGGAGAAGGCUAUGUUGGCCGGGCGACGGUUGUCCCGGUUUAAGCGUGUAGGCUGGUUUUCCAGGCAAAUCCGGAAAAUCAAGGCUGAGGCGUGAUGACGAGGCACUACGGUGCUGAAGCAACAAAUGCCCUGCUUCCAGGAAAAGCCUCUAAGCAUCAGGUAACAUCAAAUCGUACCCCAAACCGACACAGGUGGUCAGGUAGAGAAUACCAAGGCGCUUGAGAGAACUCGGGUGAAGGAACUAGGCAAAAUGGUGCCGUAACUUCGGGAGAAGGCACGCUGAUAUGUAGGUGAAGUCCCUCGCGGAUGGAGCUGAAAUCAGUCGAAGAUACCAGCUGGCUGCAACUGUUUAUUAAAAACACAGCACUGUGCAAACACGAAAGUGGACGUAUACGGUGUGACGCCUGCCCGGUGCCGGAAGGUUAAUUGAUGGGGUUAGCGCAAGCGAAGCUCUUGAUCGAAGCCCCGGUAAACGGCGGCCGUAACUAUAACGGUCCUAAGGUAGCGAAAUUCCUUGUCGGGUAAGUUCCGACCUGCACGAAUGGCGUAAUGAUGGCCAGGCUGUCUCCACCCGAGACUCAGUGAAAUUGAACUCGCUGUGAAGAUGCAGUGUACCCGCGGCAAGACGGAAAGACCCCGUGAACCUUUACUAUAGCUUGACACUGAACAUUGAGCCUUGAUGUGUAGGAUAGGUGGGAGGCUUUGAAGUGUGGACGCCAGUCUGCAUGGAGCCGACCUUGAAAUACCACCCUUUAAUGUUUGAUGUUCUAACGUUGACCCGUAAUCCGGGUUGCGGACAGUGUCUGGUGGGUAGUUUGACUGGGGCGGUCUCCUCCUAAAGAGUAACGGAGGAGCACGAAGGUUGGCUAAUCCUGGUCGGACAUCAGGAGGUUAGUGCAAUGGCAUAAGCCAGCUUGACUGCGAGCGUGACGGCGCGAGCAGGUGCGAAAGCAGGUCAUAGUGAUCCGGUGGUUCUGAAUGGAAGGGCCAUCGCUCAACGGAUAAAAGGUACUCCGGGGAUAACAGGCUGAUACCGCCCAAGAGUUCAUAUCGACGGCGGUGUUUGGCACCUCGAUGUCGGCUCAUCACAUCCUGGGGCUGAAGUAGGUCCCAAGGGUAUGGCUGUUCGCCAUUUAAAGUGGUACGCGAGCUGGGUUUAGAACGUCGUGAGACAGUUCGGUCCCUAUCUGCCGUGGGCGCUGGAGAACUGAGGGGGGCUGCUCCUAGUACGAGAGGACCGGAGUGGACGCAUCACUGGUGUUCGGGUUGUCAUGCCAAUGGCACUGCCCGGUAGCUAAAUGCGGAAGAGAUAAGUGCUGAAAGCAUCUAAGCACGAAACUUGCCCCGAGAUGAGUUCUCCCUGACUCCUUGAGAGUCCUGAAGGAACGUUGAAGACGACGACGUUGAUAGGCCGGGUGUGUAAGCGCAGCGAUGCGUUGAGCUAACCGGUACUAAUGAACCGUGAGGCUUAACCUU
This 2903-nucleotide ribosomal RNA is filed under the name Escherichia coli. RNAcentral's name for it is "23S ribosomal RNA". It matches the Rfam family "Bacterial large subunit ribosomal RNA". Lineage: Bacteria; Pseudomonadati; Pseudomonadota; Gammaproteobacteria; Enterobacterales; Enterobacteriaceae. The record is from RNAcentral.